AACAAAGAAGUAAAUUUUACUUUUAGUUUCGGCCUAAAAAUAAAGGAAUUAUCCUUCGUGUUU
This 63-nucleotide transfer RNA is filed under the name Cuerna sp. EMHAU-2015-Zz052311. RNAcentral describes it as "tRNA-Arg". Lineage: Eukaryota; Metazoa; Arthropoda; Insecta; Hemiptera; Cicadellidae. The record is from RNAcentral.